This 651-nucleotide ribosomal RNA is filed under the name Salmonella enterica. RNAcentral's name for it is "partial 23S ribosomal RNA". It matches the Rfam family "Bacterial large subunit ribosomal RNA", at positions 2174 to 2824 of the family's 2925-position model. Lineage: Bacteria; Pseudomonadati; Pseudomonadota; Gammaproteobacteria; Enterobacterales; Enterobacteriaceae. The record is from RNAcentral.
GUCUGCGUGGAGCCGACCUUGAAAUACCACCCUUUAAUGUUUGAUGUUCUAACGUGGACCCGUAAUCCGGGUUGCGGACAGUGUCUGGUGGGUAGUUUGACUGGGGCGGUCUCCUCCUAAAGAGUAACGGAGGAGCACGAAGGUUGGCUAAUCCUGGUCGGACAUCAGGAGGUUAGUGCAAUGGCAUAAGCCAGCUUGACUGCGAGCGUGACGGCGCGAGCAGGUGCGAAAGCAGGUCAUAGUGAUCCGGUGGUUCUGAAUGGAAGGGCCAUCGCUCAACGGAUAAAAGGUACUCCGGGGAUAACAGGCUGAUACCGCCCAAGAGUUCAUAUCGACGGCGGUGUUUGGCACCUCGAUGUCGGCUCAUCACAUCCUGGGGCUGAAGUAGGUCCCAAGGGUAUGGCUGUUCGCCAUUUAAAGUGGUACGCGAGCUGGGUUUAGAACGUCGUGAGACAGUUCGGUCCCUAUCUGCCGUGGGCGCUGGAGAACUGAGGGGGGCUGCUCCUAGUACGAGAGGACCGGAGUGGACGCAUCACUGGUGUUCGGGUUGUCAUGCCAAUGGCACUGCCCGGUAGCUAAAUGCGGAAGAGAUAAGUGCUGAAAGCAUCUAAGCACGAAACUUGCCCCGAGAUGAGUUCUCCCUGAGACUUA